ACCUAAAGGCGUAAUGAAAGUAAAGGUCUUCCUUGCGGAGACUGAGGGAGGACGAGCGGUUUUCACCCUUAAAAGUGACCGUUCCGCACUCCCGGGGCGUCUCGUUCUCAUCGCGAGAAGAGGCGCACCAAGAGCGUACACGCUGGGACCCGAAAGAUGGUGAACUAUGCCUGGUCAGGACGAAGUCAGGGGAAACCCUGAUGGAGGUCCGUAGCGAUUCUGACGUGCAAAUCGAUCGUCGGAACUGGGUAUAGGGGCGAAAGACUAAUCGAACCAUCUAGUAGCUGGUUCCCUCCGAAGUUUCCCUCAGGAUAGCUGGCGCUCGUCGCGCACGAGUCUCAUCCGGUAAAGCGAAUGAUUAGAGGCAUUGGGGUCGAAACGACCUCAACCUAUUCUCAAACUUUAAAUGGGUGAGAUCUCCGGCUUGCUCGAAUUAUAUAU
RNAcentral lists this ribosomal RNA (441 nucleotides) under Arachnobas pauxillus. Its description in RNAcentral is "eukaryotic LSU rRNA". It matches the Rfam family "Eukaryotic large subunit ribosomal RNA", at positions 706 to 1103 of the family's 3401-position model. Lineage: Eukaryota; Metazoa; Arthropoda; Insecta; Coleoptera; Curculionidae. The record is from RNAcentral.